AAAAUAAAGGAGGUGUAGUGGAUUGACUAAUGGUCAACUUGUAACGCCCAGCUGGACUGAAUCAGCGUGGCCUGGGCGUGGAGGAUCCACCUGAAGAUUGUUACCAAUAGCCAUAAAAAGAGAACUGGGGACGAAGAUCUCGGCCUGCUGAUUUUCUAGGAGAAGCUUGCUGUGGAUGGUUUUCCUGAUGUGAACUAGGCUGUUCUCAUUGGAGGAGGAGCUCGGGAGCUCGCUGUUUCUGGGACUGGCUGCUGCUUUCAUCAGGGGAGCUCUGAUCUUUACUGGUUACCUUCCUGAACCUCACCUAAUGAAUCCCCACCAUACUUUUGAGGAGGGAAGAGGAGCU
This 346-nucleotide long non-coding RNA is filed under the name Fukomys damarensis (Damara mole-rat). RNAcentral describes it as "lncRNA (ENSFDAG00000024495.1)". The record is from RNAcentral. Lineage: Eukaryota; Metazoa; Chordata; Mammalia; Rodentia; Bathyergidae.